RNAcentral lists this ribosomal RNA (253 nucleotides) under uncultured bacterium. RNAcentral describes it as "partial 16S ribosomal RNA". It matches the Rfam family "Bacterial small subunit ribosomal RNA", at positions 524 to 776 of the family's 1533-position model. The record is from RNAcentral.
UACGUAGGGGGCGAGCGUUGUCCGGAAUUAUUGGGCGUAAAGGGCGCGUAGGCGGAUGAUUAAGUCCGGUGUGAAAGAUCAGGGCUCAACCCUGAGAGUGCAUCGGAAACUGGUUAUCUUGAGGACAGGAGAGGAAAGUGGAAUUCCACGUGUAGCGGUGAAAUGCGUAGAUAUGUGGAGGAACACCAGUGGCGAAGGCGACUUUCUGGACUGUGACUGACGCUGAGGCGCGAAAGCGUGGGGAGCAAACAGG